CCUACGGGGGGCAGCAGUGGGGAAUAUUGGACAAUGGGGGCAACCCUGAUCCAGCCAUGCCGCGUGUGUGAAGAAGGCCCUCGGGUUGUAAAGCACUUUCAGUGAGGAAGAACGCCUGGUGGUUAAUACCCAUCAGGAAAGACAUCACUCACAGAAGAAGCACCGGCUAACUCCGUGCCAGCAGCCGCGGUAAUACGGAGGGUGCGAGCGUUAAUCGGAAUUACUGGGCGUAAAGCGCGCGUAGGUGGCUUGAUAAGCCGGUUGUGAAAGCCCCGGGCUCAACCUGGGAACGGCAUCCGGAACUGUCAAGCUAGAGUGCAGGAGAGGAAGGUAGAAUUCCCGGUGUAGCGGUGAAAUGCGUAGAGAUCGGGAGGAAUAACAGUGGCGAAGGCGGCCUUCUGGACUGACACUGACACUGAGGUGCGAAAGCGUGGGUAGCAAACAGGAUUAGAUACCCUGGUAGUC
RNAcentral lists this ribosomal RNA (465 nucleotides) under Vreelandella stevensii. RNAcentral describes it as "partial 16S ribosomal RNA". It matches the Rfam family "Bacterial small subunit ribosomal RNA", at positions 338 to 795 of the family's 1533-position model. Lineage: Bacteria; Pseudomonadati; Pseudomonadota; Gammaproteobacteria; Oceanospirillales; Halomonadaceae. The record is from RNAcentral.